Molecule: transfer RNA, 63 nt
Filed under: Purohita sinica
Lineage: Eukaryota; Metazoa; Arthropoda; Insecta; Hemiptera; Delphacidae
Description: tRNA-Tyr
Source: RNAcentral
AAUAGGAUGUCUGAUUAAGGUAAUAAAUUGUAAAUUUAUUUAAGAGUUUAACCUCUCCUAUUA